GAUGAACGCUAGCGGCAGGCUUAACACAUGCAAGUCGAGGGGUAUUGGUUUUCGGACCAAGAGACCGGCGCACGGGUGCGUAACGCGUAUGCAAUCUACCUUUUGCAGAGGGAUAGCCCCAGAGAAAUUUGGAUUAAUACCUCAUAGUAUAGUACUUUGGCAUCAAGGAACUAUUAAAGUCACAACGGCAAAGAUGAGCAUGCGUCCCAUUAGCUAGUUGGUAAGGUAACGGCUUACCAAGGCUACGAUGGGUAGGGGUCCUGAGAGGGAGAUCCCCCACACUGGUACUGAGACACGGACCAGACUCCUACGGAGGCAGCAGUGAGGAAUAUUGGACAAUGGGCGCAAGCCUGAUCCAGCCAUGCCGCGUGCAGGAUGACGGUCCUAUGGAUUGUAAACUGCUUUUANACAGGAAGAAACACUCCGACGUGUCGAGCUUGACGGUACUGUAAGAAUAAGGAUCGGCU
Molecule: ribosomal RNA, 467 nt
Filed under: uncultured bacterium
Lineage: Bacteria
Description: bacterial SSU rRNA
Rfam family: Bacterial small subunit ribosomal RNA
Source: RNAcentral